UCAAGAAAUGGCCUGGAGUUAACGACUCCAAG
RNAcentral lists this small RNA (32 nucleotides) under Bombyx mori (domestic silkworm). RNAcentral's name for it is "ovarian small RNA-24676". The record is from RNAcentral. Lineage: Eukaryota; Metazoa; Arthropoda; Insecta; Lepidoptera; Bombycidae.